CCUACGGGAGGCAGCAGUGAGGAAUAUUGGUCAAUGGACGAGAGUCUGAACCAGCCAAGUAGCGUGAAGGAUGACUGCCCUAUGGGUUGUAAACUUCUUUUAUAUGGGAAUAAAAUGUUCCACGUGUGGGAUUUUGUAUGUACCAUAUGAAUAAGGAUCGGCUAACUCCGUGCCAGCAGCCGCGGUAAUACGGAGGGUCCGGGCGUUAUCCGGAUUUAUUGGGUUUAAAGGGAGCGUAGGUGGAUUGUUAAGUCAGUUGUGAAAGUUUGCGGCUCAACCGGAAAAUUGCAGUUGAAACUGGCAGUCUUGAGUACAGUAGAGGUGGGCGGAAUUCGUGGUGUAGCGGUGAAAUGCUUAGAUAUCACGAAGAACUCCGAUUGCGAAGGCAGUUUACUGCACUGCAACUGACACUGAUGCUCGAAAGUGUGGGUAUCAAACAGGAUUAGAUACCCCAGUAGUC
Molecule: ribosomal RNA, 460 nt
Filed under: uncultured bacterium
Lineage: Bacteria
Description: partial 16S ribosomal RNA
Rfam family: Bacterial small subunit ribosomal RNA
Source: RNAcentral